RNAcentral lists this ribosomal RNA (831 nucleotides) under Agonimia tristicula. RNAcentral's name for it is "partial large subunit ribosomal RNA". The stretch from base 1 to 413 matches the Rfam family "Bacterial large subunit ribosomal RNA", at positions 907 to 1235 of the family's 2925-position model. Lineage: Eukaryota; Fungi; Ascomycota; Eurotiomycetes; Verrucariales; Verrucariaceae. The record is from RNAcentral.
GAACUGUGAUCUCGAUCAACUUAUAAUAAAAACUAAUUAUUAUAAUUUGUAUAUAUCGGGGGAUCGUGAAGAUUUUAUCGGAGAGUUUUUGCACUCGAAAGGGUUAAGAUGAAUAUUAAAUAAUCGGACAUAGAAUGCUAAGGUUGUAUGUCUAAAGGGAAACAGCCCUAAACAAGAGUUAAUAAGGUUCCAAAAUUAUUGUUGAGUGAAAUAAAGGUUGUACCUUCGAAUACAAUCAGGUAAUAGGCUUAGAAGCGGCCAUUUGCUGACGAUCUCGUAACAGAGCACUGAUUUUAAACAAAAAAAGUUUAAUUAGAAGAUCAAACCUAAAAUUUAUCGGAUCUAAAUAAUAUACCGAAACCUUGUCCAUGUUUAUAAAUAUAUGUUAUAUAUUAUAAAUAUGGGGUAGCAGAACAUUGGAUUGAGUUUUAGAUUNGUAUUCUUUAUAAGAAUAAAAAAAUUAAUAAAUUCCAAGAGAUAAUGCUGAUAUGAGUAACGAAAAAGAAUAACACUCGCCUAAAGCUUAUGGAAUUUAAUUUUACGGUCUCUAAGUUUAAGUAAGUGUUGUUGGGACCAUGUCCUUGGACCUUAUUUCAAGUUAAAGUAAACUCAUAAAUUAUUACCAUGGACCUUUUUUGUUUAAAGAGACUUUACAACAACACAACACGAUGAUGAGUAAAAGAAAAGAAAGGAAGACGAAUAUGAUAAGUAAAACUUUUUAGAUUAGUGUAAUUAGUUCAGGAAAACUUAGAUAGUAGUCGUAUGUCUGCGUCCAAUCUUUUACUACCGUACCUAGAAUCUACCACACAGUAAGCUAGUAGAGAAUACGAA